CCUAGAAAGGCUGUUUAUUAUUCUCUCCAUGUAUGUUUUAGUAAGUGGUGAUGCUCUUGAUUAAAGAAUCCAUUGUUAACCUAAUUUUGUAACAGAGGAAGAGGUAAAAAGAUAGUUGUUACCUUCUACAGAAUCUAUCAACUUAAGACAAAAAUUAAUAGCAAUAUAGGAAAUUUGCAAACAGUAAAAUUUUUGGUUUUCAUUUCAUGGAUGGUGCUGCUGUUCCAACCUUAUAAAGUAAAGCUGUCCACUUUCCAAAUCCCAGAAAUUAACAACCUCCAACCUUACCAUACUAACCAGUGCCCUUUGGUUUCUUUAGAACAAGGGAGAGUUAAAGGGUUGAUUAUGGAUGUACAAUUUUGAUUUUGGGACCUUUCACACAUACAUAUCAUACUGAGCGGCCACUUACUUUACAGAGCAGUUUAAAUGUUAACACAUUAGCCAAAUUAACUUGUUCCAUCCACCCUAUUGGAGGAGGAAAAAUCCAACACCCAUAAAACUACUUCACUUGACAAUAUGUGUCUAUCAACAAUAAGUAGCUUCAACAACUUUUACCAGUAAGGUGUCUAGACUGAUUUUUAAAAUGGCCAAGUGACAUUU
This 600-nucleotide long non-coding RNA is filed under the name Bos taurus (domestic cattle). Its description in RNAcentral is "long non-coding RNA NONBTAT018685". The record is from RNAcentral. Lineage: Eukaryota; Metazoa; Chordata; Mammalia; Artiodactyla; Bovidae.